AAAUCCUUGGUGUGUCAUCGAGGAUAACGUAAGGGAAAAUAAUGAUAUUACCUUACUAUUAGUGUCGUCCAAAAGCUCGUGCCAGAAGACUCGGUAAGACGAGAGACACGAACGUUAAUCGUCUUGAUCAGGCGUAAAGGGUUUGUAGGCGGCUUUAAGUAUUCAAUAUUAAGUUUACGAUGAGAAUAUUUUUUUUUUAUAUUUUAAUCUUUAUUAUAGGAUCAAUUAAAGCUAGAAUCUAAUAGGGGUUAAAACAAUACUUACAGUAGGUGUACAAACCACAGAUAGUAAGUAGAGUGUUAAGGGCGAAGGCAUUUAUCCACUGAAGAUUGACGCUGAGAAACGAAGGUGAGGACAGAAAAAAGGAUUAGAGACCCUUGUAUCCCUCACUGUCAACGAUGAAUGGUAGUUACUAGGGAGAAAAUGACCUAGAGGCGAUGUUAACACGAAAACCAUUCCGCCUUGUGAGUACGACUGCAAAGUUAAAAACAAAAAAAUUA
RNAcentral lists this ribosomal RNA (500 nucleotides) under Phellinopsis overholtsii. RNAcentral describes it as "partial small subunit ribosomal RNA". It matches the Rfam family "Bacterial small subunit ribosomal RNA", at positions 428 to 911 of the family's 1533-position model. Lineage: Eukaryota; Fungi; Basidiomycota; Agaricomycetes; Hymenochaetales; Hymenochaetaceae. The record is from RNAcentral.